This 117-nucleotide small RNA is filed under the name Macaca fascicularis (crab-eating macaque). RNAcentral's name for it is "Metazoan signal recognition particle RNA (ENSMFAG00000059583.1)". The record is from Rfam by way of RNAcentral. Lineage: Eukaryota; Metazoa; Chordata; Mammalia; Primates; Cercopithecidae.
GCUGGGUAUGGUGGCUCAUGCCUAUAAUCCCAGCACUUUGGGAGGCUGAGGUGGGGGGAUCACCUGAGGUCAGGAGUUUGAGGCCAGCCUGGCCAACAUGGUGAAACCCCAUCUCUA